Molecule: long non-coding RNA, 231 nt
Filed under: Elaeis guineensis (African oil palm)
Lineage: Eukaryota; Viridiplantae; Streptophyta; Magnoliopsida; Arecales; Arecaceae
Description: long non-coding RNA (EGUI_LNC064844)
Source: RNAcentral
UCUUACCUAAAUCACAGCAGAACCAGGGAUCAAAUCCCAAAUUAUCUGAUAUAAACCUUUGUGGAGGUCUGGAUAUGCAGACCCUCUACUUUGCAUGCACGUCAGACGCCGUAGGAAAGCAGGAUGAACUCCAAUCCAAUUGGCUUCACAUACACAAUCAAUCGACGGAUGAGAUGUGAUGAUAUGACACCGCACACUAGCAGGUAGGAUGCCCAAGAAGGAUCCACACCC